RNAcentral lists this long non-coding RNA (6533 nucleotides) under Marmota monax (woodchuck). The record is from RNAcentral. Lineage: Eukaryota; Metazoa; Chordata; Mammalia; Rodentia; Sciuridae.
GCAAGAAAGUAAGUAGAAUUUGUUAUAAAUGCAUUCUUUGCUAAAUUGCAGUGUGUGUGUUUGUGUGUGCCUGUGUGUGUGUUUUGUUUUCUUCUGCUUUUAUACCAGUCAACAGUUGUUAAUAUGUUUUAUUUGGUCUGUUUCCUUAUCAUAACUCUUACACAAUUCUCUCUUGUUCUUGUCUGAUUCUUCCUUUUAACGAAUGUCUUUCUGUUAACUCAAAAGACAUUGAAACUUUAACAAAAUAACUGCCAGAGAAGUGUUCCUAACUAGGCAGGUUCAUUCAAUUAAAAUAAAGUGAGCUGCAUUUUAUUGGAAUAGGUAGUGUUCUAGAAUUCCAACGCAGAGAUAAUUGCAUCCACAGGUCAUGCUGCUUUUAUUUAUUGUUUUAUUAAAUUGUAUUGCUUAUUAUCAUGUUCAAGUCUAUAACCCACUCAUUCUAUUUUCUUUUUAUAUUCUUUGCUCCUGAAGAAUAAUAUACCUAUACAUCCAUUUCUAACUUCUCAUUCAUAGGUUGUUUUCUAUGUCUUUGUCUUUAUAUUGUGAUUUUUUUUCCACUUUGUGAAACUUUUAUGUAGAGAUCCUGGAGAGCAUUAGCAUGAUCUAUUCAUAGUGCCUGUUUCUGAACAUAAAAAAGUGCAAAUACAGUUCUCACUACAAUAAGCCUGACUCCUUUCAUGUGUACAACAAUCACAUUGAAAAUCUCUUGAUCUACAAGUGAUAAGAAUAUAAAAUGUACAAGCUUUUUUUUUCUUACCUUUGGCAAGUCAAAAUUGAAACCUCAAAUCUUUUGGGGUUUACACUGGCUCUAUCUAACCCAUAAAUUAUUGUGAGGAUCAAAUGACAUAUCCCUUAGAAAGCAAUUUGUAAUAGAUUAAGGAAGAAUAUCAAAAUAAAAUGAGCUGUUAAUAUGCAAUUAUUUCUAAUUAUUGGGGAGAAGGCAGUACAUAUAUGUAAUUGUUCUCCAAUGAGAAAUAUCUAGUGUUUUCAUGGUUUUGUAAAGAAUUCUUGUCUUUUGCUCUACUCAAGGCAAUGGCAAUGUACAAUGUCUAGUGAAGAGGAACAUUUUAUUUUAUAACUUGUCAAGUUAAAUAAAAUUUGAAACCUUUUUUAAAAAGUCAUAUUGUUGCAAACAAUGCAAAACUUAAGCAUGAGAGUGAAAAAUGACAUUGCAUUUUAAUUUUAUCAGUAAGUCAAAUUUCAUCUACAUGUUUUAAAACACUGUAUUCCUUUCUAAGCUGUUUUUAAUGCAUUACUGUCUGUUUGAUAGUUUUAAUAUUGUAAGAGCCAGAGUCAUUUCAUUUACUUAAAGCCAAUUUGCUCAAGCUGUAGGAAUUAUGUUAUCUUAAAAUUAUUCUAGUAGUGUACUUAAACUUUUCUUUUACGUCAAUAUAUGGGUAUCUUACUGCCUUCUAUAAUUCAGUUCAAAUUAACAAGUAUUUAUAUGAACAUCUCAUUCAAAAAAGUAAAAAUUUCUUAAGUGUUUUUGAGGCUUUAUUUAAAGAUUUUAAUUCCAUUUUCCUAAUAUAUUCAAAAUUACUAUAAACAUUUGGUAAAGAUAGUCCUUUUAGGCAAUAAAGUAGCAGACAAUACAUCAGUUUGGCUAUUGGUUUCAUUGAUUUUUGACCUAAGAUCAUAAAAUCAAAUAAAGUACAUUUAUUUCAUAAAAGGUAGUUGGUAAAUAUUGUAAAGAAGGACCCUUAUGUCUUCAUCAGAGCCUUAGAAUCACUAGGAGUGGAACAACUGAAUUGGCUAUCUUUUGAAAUGACAGUUCUCAAACUUGGCUUUGCAUUUGAGCUUAUUGUGUAGUUUUGAACAAACAAGUAGAAGAGUUGUCAAAAAAAAAAGAAAAAAAAGAAUGGGAUAUAAGAGGAAUCUAAGCAUGGGGAUUAAUAUUUACUACUUUUUUCUCAUCACUUAUCAUAUACAAUCAAUCAUUUAUUCCUCUAGCAAUCAUCUGGUAAAUAACAUGUUUAUAAAUUCCAUUAUUUUCCUUUUCAACAUUUCUGGACUUAAUUGAAUAAUUUACAAACCAUUCUUCCAUCUUCAAUAUUAUCUUUUUCAUUUUUAUUCUAUUGAAAGUAAAAGUCCACCAUGACAAAUUUCUUAAAAUACCACACCAAUUUGGGGCUGGGGAUGUGGCUCAAGCUGUAGCGCGCUUGCCUGUCAUGUGUGCGGCCCGGAUUCAAUCCCAACACCACAUACAAACAAAGAUGUUGUGUCCGCCAAAAACUAAAAAAAAAUAAAUAAAUAUUAAAAUUCUCUCUCUCUCUCUCUCUCUCUCUCUCUCUCUCUCUCUCUUUAAAAAAAUACCAUACCAAUUAACAUCUUUCAGGGACUCCAAAAUACUCUGUGGAUUGGCUCAGGACAUUUAACCCUGAUUUAAGAAUUGUGCCCAGGCAGUCAGGAUACAUCAUGAAAUUAUAUGCAAAAUUUUGUUAAAGUACUUCUAAGUGAUUUUUCCCUCUUGGGGGUGGGGAGAAACAAACUACAGCUUUUAUGAGAGUCUACAAAGAUCCUAUAGAAUUCAAUGUUCUAACAAAGCCAAGAAGGCCUGUUAUAAUCCUUUUCCUACUUCCUUUCCAGCCUCAUCUCUCUCAUUAGCACCUUUUCAUGCAGAAACAAUAUUAAACCCACUCAUGGUUCCUAACACAUACCGUAGCUGUGCUCAAAGUAACCACAUUUGUUGAAAUGCUUUAUUGAUCGUGUCAUUUUACUGGAUUAAGNCCAUUUUCCUAAUAUAUUCAAAAUUACUGUAAACAUUUGGUAAAGAUAGUCCUUUUAGGCAAUAAAGUAGCAGACAAUACAUCAGUUUGGCUAUUGGUUUCAUUGAUUUUUGACCUAAGAUCAUAAAAUCAAAUAAAGUACAUUUAUUUCAUAAAAGGUAGUUGGUAAAUAUUGUAAAGAAGGACCCUUAUGUCUUCAUCAGAGCCUUAGAAUCACUAGGAGUGGAACAACUGAAUUGGCUAUCUUUUGAAAUGACAGUUCUCAAACUUGGCUUUGCAUUUGAGCUUAUUGUGUAGUUUUGAACAAACAAGUAGAAGAGUUGUCAAAAAAAAAAGAAAAAAAAGAAUGGGAUAUAAGAGGAAUCUAAGCAUGGGGAUUAAUAUUUACUACUUUUUUCUCAUCACUUAUCAUAUACAAUCAAUCAUUUAUUCCUCUAGCAAUCAUCUGGUAAAUAACAUGUUUAUAAAUUCCAUUAUUUUCCUUUUCAACAUUUCUGGACUUAAUUGAAUAAUUUACAAACCAUUCUUCCAUCUUCAAUAUUAUCUUUUUCAUUUUUAUUCUAUUGAAAGUAAAAGUCCACCAUGACAAAUUUCUUAAAAUACCACACCAAUUUGGGGCUGGGGAUGUGGCUCAAGCUGUAGCGCGCUUGCCUGUCAUGUGUGCGGCCCGGAUUCGAUCCCAACACCACAUACAAACAAAGAUGUUGUGUCCGCCAAAAACUAAAAAAAAAUAAAUAAAUAUUAAAAUUCUCUCUCUCUCUCUCUCUCUCUCUCUCUCUCUCUCUCUCUCUCUCUCUCUUUAAAAAAAUACCAUACCAAUUAACAUCUUUCAGGGACUCCAAAAUACUCUGUGGAUUGGCUCAGGACAUUUAACCCUGAUUUAAGAAUUGUGCCCAGGCAGUCAGGAUACAUCAUGAAAUUAUAUGCAAAAUUUUGUUAAAGUACUUCUAAGUGAUUUUUCCCUCUUGGGGGUGGGGAGAAACAAACUACAGCUUUUAUGAGAGUCUACAAAGAUCCUAUAGAAUUCAAUGUUCUAACAAAGCCAAGAAGGCCUGUUAUAAUCCUUUUCCUACUUCCUUUCCAGCCUCAUCUCUCUCAUUAGCACCUUUUCAUGCAGAAACAAUAUUAAACCCACUCAUGGUUCCUAACACAUACCGUAGCUGUGCUCAAAGUAACCACAUUUGUUGAAAUGCUUUAUUGAUCGUGUCAUUUUACUGGAUUAAGACUUCCUCAUUCUUUUUAAUUUUUUUUUUUUUUUACUAUUCUAAUCAGUUAUACAUGACAUCAGAAAGCUUUUGGUUCAUUGUACACAAAUGGAGCACAACUUUUCAUUUCUCUGUUUUUACACAACAUAGAGUUGCAUCAUAUAAGCAGUCAUACAUGUACCUAGAGUAAUGAUGUUUGUUAUCUUCCACCAUCUUUCCUACUCCCAUGCCCCCUCCCCUUCCCUCACUCCCCUUGGCCCAGACAAAGUUCCUCUAUUCUCCCCACACCCUUCCCCCCAUUAUGGAUCAGCAUCCACUUAUCAAAAAAAAACAUUUGGCCUUUGAUUUUUAGGGGAUUGGUUUACUUCGCUUAUCAUGAUAUUCUCCAACUCCAUCCAUUUGCCUGCAAAUGCUAUAAUUUUAUUCUCUUUUAACGCUGAAUAAUAUUCUAUUGUAUAUAUACCACAGUUAAAGAUAUAUAUAUAUAUAUAUAUAUAUAUAUAUAGGUUUCACAUCUCAGCUGUUGCAAAUUGUGCAGCUAUAAACAUCGAAGUGGCUGCGUCACUAUAAUAUGCUAUUUUUAAGUCCUUUGGCUAUAGACCAAGGAAUGGGAUAGCUGGGUCAAAUGUUGGUUCCAUUCCAAGUUUUCUAAGGAAUCUCCAUACUGCUUUCCAUAUUGGUUGCACCAAUUUGCAGUCCCACCAGCGAUGUAUGAGUGUGCCUUUUCUGACUUCCUCAUUCUUUAAAAUACUCUUAACUAUAAAUUGGAAAUUAAAUACUUGGGUUCCUAACAAGUAAUGCAAAUAAAAAUGAAUAUGAGCACAAUGUGGGGUGGGGGUCCAUUACUGAGAAAUGAUGCCAGAUGAAGAGUGGGGAUGAAAUAAGAAAAAGCCAGGGAACAGAUUAUCUGAAAUUUUGUAAAUAGACUAAGAAGACUGGAUUUUAUUCUGAUGUGGUGAAAAUUCAAAAGAGAAAUUACAAUAGGAGUUCAGCAUGAACUGAUUUCCACUUCUAGAAAACACUAUCAUAUUGUAUACGGAAUCAGUAAUAGGUAGAAAGAUGGGUUGAAGAGAUAAAUCAUGAGGAUAUUAUAAUAGUCCAUACCAAAGCAAUAAUAAUUUAACAAGGAAUGAUAGCACUGAAGAUCGCAUAGUUCUAGAUUUAGAGUGGAUUAUGUUUUGGAGGUCAAGGUGAUGGUGUACACAGAUGGAAGGUAUGUGGGGAAAAUGGGAGAACUCUUAGUUUUUUAUUUUGUUUUGUGUAGUUAUAGAUGGAAAGCUUGCCUUUAUUUGUUUAUUUUUAUGUGUUGCUAAGGAUUGAACCCAGUACCUCACACAUGCUAGGCAACUGCUGUGCCACUCAGCUACAGCCCCAGCCCCUGGGUUUUUUGAUUCCAAUAAUUGGGAGGAUGGUUUUUUACUUCUUGAGUGAGACGAAGAAGAGAAGAAAUAUGACUCCCUUCCUGUACUCUUGAUUGGGAGAUUGAGUGGAUGGUUAUAUAUAUAUGUAUAUUAUUCACAAGGAAACAACAAUUUUUAUGGGAUAGAUUGAGUCUAUAGUUAAGCAUAUGUAUAUGUAAAUAUAUAUAUAUAUAUAUAUGAAUAUCUAUCUAUCUAUCUAUCUAUCUAUCUAUAUAUAUAUAUGCAUAUUUAUUUCCAGAAAUUUUUAUCUUGUUUUAGGAAAGUGUGUGUUUUCAAUGAAGAAAAGGGAUAACUUUACUCUUUAAAAUAAACUUUUUAAUAAAGUUAAUCAGGCUAUUGAUUAGGGAUAGUGUUUACAUGUUAAUAAUAUUAACCUUUAAGAGUAACAUGCUUAUCUUAGUGAUAUUUAUGAAGUAACUGUAACUGUAAAUACUUUGAUAAUUAGUGUUAAAAUUUUUAUUUUUAUUUUUAUGUUUUUAUUAGCUGUUCAAAACAUUACAAAGCUCUUGACAUAUAAUAUUUCACACAUUUGAUUCAAGUGGGUUAUGAACUCCCAUUUUUACCCCGUAUACAGAUUGCAGAAUCACAUCGGUUUAGUGUUAAAAUUAUGACUCAAAUUCAGAUACCUCAUAUAGAGACUAUUUUUCUCAGCUCUUUCUUCAUAUACCCUUUGGGUUAGAAUUUCCUUGCUCUGUCAUGUUGAUGCUUUCUCUUCUUUCCUAACAGUCACCCAAGAAGUCCCGACCUGUUGUUGAUGUUUCUAACUGGAUGAGUAAGAGACUCUCUAACUCUACAGGGUCCAUAGUAGUUCUUGCCAUUCCUUGUAGUUAAUGCUGUCAUUGUCCUUCCCACAGGGCUCCACUCACUCACCGAAAAGUGCUCAAACUCCCCUAUUGGAAUGGUCAGCAUCUGCAUCUCUAUGCCUGAAGACUCUUUAGCCCUGAACUGAAGAAACACACUCUUGAUACCAACAGUGCUGGGGAAUUUACCAUCCAACCCUGUACUCAGAAGACUUGAGAAAAGCUUCUGUUCCUCAUCUCCACACAUUGUGGUGUUCUAUUUCACAGUUUGCUUCCAGCAUUAAGCUUUAGUCAUUUCCUCUGUCAGCUUGCUAAAUAAAAAUCUGUAAUGGCAAACUUCUUUUUCUUAUUUCAUCCCCACUCUUGAUCUUUGACCUUCCC